CAGGCAAAUAAAGCAAGACAGGAGUUGGCAUUGUCAAUCAAAGUCACACAGCUCCUGUGGUAGCUGAGCCAGAAUUUGAAAUCAGUUCUACCAGACCCCCAAAACGCUCUCCUGCCUGCCAGCCCGACCAGGGUGUGUUGAAGGUCAGCGACUGCAGUGACCAGUGACUUCAUCCUUGUAGAGGCAGAUGGCGAGCGAAGAAUUGUCAUCCACAGUACUCAGAACGCAGCCACGAUGGAGCCUUGACUUAGGGAUGUUAUUCGUCUUUGUCUGAAACUUUCCACUGACUCAAACCCCUGGAGGUGUGGAAGAAAAGAAUCCUGGUUUGCAAGCCUAAGACUCCCCUUGUGAUGAGGUGAUUUCCUACCACAACACUGUUGUACAAAAAGUGCUAAUGUAUGUGCAAGUGAGCUACGUAAAAGCUGUGGCCCCCGCUUCUAAGCCUUUUUAACUCAUCGUUCGGCGCUUUUGACCUGAUCCGCUGCUGGUUUUGACACCAAAGAACCGAAAACGUCACAAAUUUAAAAGAACAUAAUAGAGGCUGUGUCACACUGAAGUAUGUCAAUGGUAGAUCAACGCAUCAGCCUUAAUUCCAGCAAGUUGCAAGUCUGCAGAGGAGAAAUUCCUAACAUCUGACAGGUAGAGGUGGCAUUUCUCUGUCCUGCUUGGCAAAGACCCAAUAUACCUUUGUCCAAAAGCCAAGUGGACGAUUCCAAAAAGUUCCCUCUCUGACAGAGGCUCCAGACUGAAUCCAAGUAAGGCAGUCAUUUGACUAGUAAACCCCAGCCAAGGAGGGAGAUGGCUGCCAAAAACAGCUGCCAGAUCUCCAAGUUGAUUUUCACCAUCACCCCACAUCUAAGACACAAAUGGAAAAAUAUUCAGGUGCUGGUCAAUGUAAGAGAAAAUUCAAGCCAGAAAUAAAAUGCUGAAAUCUAAGUGUGCAACAGACCCAAACAACCCACAGGAACAGAGAAGCAGCUAACCAGAAAGCUCAAGAGCUAAUAAGCAACUGCUUAAAAAGACUUUAUACACAGUGGACUGCUAAGAGCAAAAUCAGUGUUUUCUGAAAUUUCUUGUAACAAAGUUAAAGCCUUUCUUCUUCUUCUUCUUUUUUUUUUUUUUUGGUCUUUCUAGGGCUGCACCCAUGGCAUAUGGAGGUCCCCCAGGCUAGGGGUCGAACUGGAGCUGCAGCUGCCGGCUUACACCACAGCAAUGCCAGAUUCGAGCUGAGUCUGUGACCUACACCGCAGCUCAAGGCAACGCCAGAUCCUUAACCAACUAAGCGAGGCCAGGGAAUCGAACCCUUGUCCUCAUGGAUACUAGUUGGGUUCGUUACUGCUGAAUCCCAAGGCAACUCCCUGAGGCCUAUUUUUUUUAAGCCCACAAUAAUGAAAUAAUGUAGCUAACACCAGCAGCACUCAAACCUACAGCAAGGGUAAAGACCCUAGCCUGCCCAAUUCUGGAAGUAAAAUGACAAAAGAAAGCCCCAAAGUUCAACAAAAAUAUAAACCCUCCAAACUUAAGCGUUCCUGCUGCGGUACAGCAGGUUAAGGAUUCAUGUUGUCUCUGCAGUGGCACAGGUUUGAUCCCUGGCCUGGCACAGGGGGUUAAGGAUCCAGUGUUGCCACUGCUGUGGCAGAGGUAACAGCAGCACCUUGGGUUCAAUCCCUGGCCCAGGAACUUCCAUGUAACAUGGGUGCAGCCCAAAGAAAAACAAAACAAAACUUAAACACUGCCACUCAUUUUUUUUCCAAGUAGAAUGUGCCCAGCGAAACAAGGACAACUAGCUUGAGAAAUAUAUAUGGCAUACUCAGUAGUAGGGUCACAAUUGAUAGCUCUUUCCACAAAAGUAAAUUAUUUAUGUCUUAAUUAGAGACAAUGUUUAUCGUUUCUCUUUAAAAAACCUACCUUAUAAUUAAUACAUAUUACUAAAACGUUGUAGCACAUGAAAUAUACUAACACCGAAGUUAUUUCAGUCAACAGUUUUGAGUUUGUCUUUAAUCCCUUGUAUUGCUUCUUGCUUAACAAUAUUCGGAGUCUUCCAGCUGAAACUAAAGUACGUUCUUGGAAUCCUUUACAGAAUUAUAUCUUCUUUGGGGAAAACAUACUCUUUCCAACAAGAAAUACCAAGAAAUCCAA
This 2139-nucleotide long non-coding RNA is filed under the name Sus scrofa (pig). RNAcentral's name for it is "lncRNA (ENSSSCG00005035919.1)". The record is from RNAcentral. Lineage: Eukaryota; Metazoa; Chordata; Mammalia; Artiodactyla; Suidae.